RNAcentral lists this ribosomal RNA (2924 nucleotides) under Escherichia coli. Its description in RNAcentral is "bacterial LSU rRNA". It matches the Rfam family "Bacterial large subunit ribosomal RNA". Lineage: Bacteria; Pseudomonadati; Pseudomonadota; Gammaproteobacteria; Enterobacterales; Enterobacteriaceae. The record is from RNAcentral.
GGGUUGUGAGGUUAAGCGACUAAGCGUACACGGUGGAUGCCCUGGCAGUCAGAGGCGAUGAAGGACGUGCUAAUCUGCGAUAAGCGUCGGUGAGGUGAUAUGAACCGUUAUAACCGGCGAUUUCCGAAUGGGGAAACCCAGUGUGAUUCGUCACACUAUCAUUAACUGAAUCCAUAGGUUAAUGAGGCGAACCGGGGAACUGAAACAUCUAAGUACCCCGAGGAAAAGAAAUCAACCGAGAUUCCCCCAGUAGCGGCGAGCGAACGGGGAGGAGCCCAGAGCCUGAAUCAGUGUGUGUGUUAGUGGAAGCGUCUGGAAAGGCGCGCGAUACAGGGUGACAGCCCCGUACACAAAAAUGCACAUAUUGUGAGCUCGAUGAGUAGGGCGGGACACGUGGUAUCCUGUCUGAAUAUGGGGGGACCAUCCUCCAAGGCUAAAUACUCCUGACUGACCGAUAGUGAACCAGUACCGUGAGGGAAAGGCGAAAAGAACCCCGGCGAGGGGAGUGAAAAAGAACCUGAAACCGUGUACGUACAAGCAGUGGGAGCCUCUUAAUGGGGUGACUGCGUACCUUUUGUAUAAUGGGUCAGCGACUUAUAUUCUGUAGCAAGGUUAACCGAAUAGGGGAGCCGAAGGGAAACCGAGUCUUAACUGGGCGUUAAGUUGCAGGGUAUAGACCCGAAACCCGGUGAUCUAGCCAUGGGCAGGUUGAAGGUUGGGUAACACUAACUGGAGGACCGAACCGACUAAUGUUGAAAAAUUAGCGGAUGACUUGUGGCUGGGGGUGAAAGGCCAAUCAAACCGGGAGAUAGCUGGUUCUCCCCGAAAGCUAUUUAGGUAGCGCCUCGUGAAUUCAUCUCCGGGGGUAGAGCACUGUUUCGGCAAGGGGGUCAUCCCGACUUACCAACCCGAUGCAAACUGCGAAUACCGGAGAAUGUUAUCACGGGAGACACACGGCGGGUGCUAACGUCCGUCGUGAAGAGGGAAACAACCCAGACCGCCAGCUAAGGUCCCAAAGUCAUGGUUAAGUGGGAAACGAUGUGGGAAGGCCCAGACAGCCAGGAUGUUGGCUUAGAAGCAGCCAUCAUUUAAAGAAAGCGUAAUAGCUCACUGGUCGAGUCGGCCUGCGCGGAAGAUGUAACGGGGCUAAACCAUGCACCGAAGCUGCGGCAGCGACACUAUGUGUUGUUGGGUAGGGGAGCGUUCUGUAAGCCUGUGAAGGUGGCCUGUGAGGGUUGCUGGAGGUAUCAGAAGUGCGAAUGCUGACAUAAGUAACGAUAAAGCGGGUGAAAAGCCCGCUCGCCGGAAGACCAAGGGUUCCUGUCCAACGUUAAUCGGGGCAGGGUGAGUCGACCCCUAAGGCGAGGCCGAAAGGCGUAGUCGAUGGGAAACAGGUUAAUAUUCCUGUACUUGGUGUUACUGCGAAGGGGGGACGGAGAAGGCUAUGUUGGCCGGGCGACGGUUGUCCCGGUUUAAGCGUGUAGGCUGGUUUUCCAGGCAAAUCCGGAAAAUCAAGGCUGAGGCGUGAUGACGAGGCACUACGGUGCUGAAGCGACAAAUGCCCUGCUUCCAGGAAAAGCCUCUAAGCAUCAGGUAACAUCAAAUCGUACCCCAAACCGACACAGGUGGUCAGGUAGAGAAUACCAAGGCGCUUGAGAGAACUCGGGUGAAGGAACUAGGCAAAAUGGUGCCGUAACUUCGGGAGAAGGCACGCUGAUAUGUAGGUGAAGCGACUUGCUCGUGGAGCUGAAAUCAGUCGAAGAUACCAGCUGGCUGCAACUGUUUAUUAAAAACACAGCACUGUGCAAACACGAAAGUGGACGUAUACGGUGUGACGCCUGCCCGGUGCCGGAAGGUUAAUUGAUGGGGUUAGCGGUAACGCGAAGCUCUUGAUCGAAGCCCCGGUAAACGGCGGCCGUAACUAUAACGGUCCUAAGGUAGCGAAAUUCCUUGUCGGGUAAGUUCCGACCUGCACGAAUGGCGUAAUGAUGGCCAGGCUGUCUCCACCCGAGACUCAGUGAAAUUGAACUCGCUGUGAAGAUGCAGUGUACCCGCGGCAAGACGGAAAGACCCCGUGAACCUUUACUAUAGCUUGACACUGAACAUUGAGCCUUGAUGUGUAGGAUAGGUGGGAGGCUUUGAAGUGUGGACGCCAGUCUGCAUGGAGCCGACCUUGAAAUACCACCCUUUAAUGUUUGAUGUUCUAACGUGGGCCCCUUACCGGGGUUGCGGACAGUGUCUGGUGGGUAGUUUGACUGGGGCGGUCUCCUCCUAAAGAGUAACGGAGGAGCACGAAGGUUGGCUAAUCCUGGUCGGACAUCAGGAGGUUAGUGCAAUGGCAUAAGCCAGCUUGACUGCGAGCGUGACGGCGCGAGCAGGUGCGAAAGCAGGUCAUAGUGAUCCGGUGGUUCUGAAUGGAAGGGCCAUCGCUCAACGGAUAAAAGGUACUCCGGGGAUAACAGGCUGAUACCGCCCAAGAGUUCAUAUCGACGGCGGUGUUUGGCACCUCGAUGUCGGCUCAUCACAUCCUGGGGCUGAAGUAGGUCCCAAGGGUAUGGCUGUUCGCCAUUUAAAGUGGUACGCGAGCUGGGUUUAGAACGUCGUGAGACAGUUCGGUCCCUAUCUGCCGUGGGCGCUGGAGAACUGAGGGGGGCUGCUCCUAGUACGAGAGGACCGGAGUGGACGCAUCACUGGUGUUCGGGUUGUCAUGCCAAUGGCACUGCCCGGUAGCUAAAUGCGGAAGAGAUAAGUGCUGAAAGCAUCUAAGCACGAAACUUGCCCCGAGAUGAGUUCUCCCUGACUCCUUGAGAGUCCUGAAGGAACGUUGAAGACGACGACGUUGAUAGGCCGGGUGUGUAAGCGCAGCGAUGCGUUGAGCUAACCGGUACUAAUGAACCGUGAGGCUUAACCUUACAACGCCGAAG